RNAcentral lists this long non-coding RNA (1572 nucleotides) under Nicotiana tabacum (common tobacco). RNAcentral's name for it is "long non-coding RNA (NTAB_LNC014865)". Lineage: Eukaryota; Viridiplantae; Streptophyta; Magnoliopsida; Solanales; Solanaceae. The record is from RNAcentral.
UCAAACUCUUUUCCUCACACACACACACACACACACUCACUCUCUCCUUCCAAAUAUCUCCAUUUUCCCUCUUAAUCUCCGCCAUUAACGUUUCUCUGUGCUUAAGCUCAAACCGUAACAAUGACGGACGUAACUGAUGAUAUAGCUGAGGAGAUAUCAUUUCAGGGAUUUGAAGAUGAUUGUAGGCUCCUUCAGAGCCUUCUUAACGAUGUUCUUAACAGGGAAGUUGGUCCUCAAUUCAUGGAAAAAGUUGAACGUACUCGCGUCCUUGCUCAGGUCCCAUCCUUAGUGUUAGAUUUCACAUUUUCCGCUGCCCUCUGCUCAUUUUUUUUGUUUGUUUGUAAGGUGUUCAUUGAAAAACGGUAUUUAUUUAUUUUUACGACGACAAAAUUUUUCUCAGCCAUGACCUGAAUUUUUCUCUUUCAAUUUAACUUGACAACCGUAGUGGGACGGAGCUGGAGACCAAGGUACGGGUUCGGUCGAACCAGAACCUGGUAACCUUGGUUUAAACUAUGUAUUUAUCUUAAAAAUUCUAUAUAAAUUAUUAAUUUAAAAUCCAGUAACUUAAAAAGGCUAAACCAGUAAGCUUCAAAUCUGGCUCCGCCUGCUUAACUAUUGUCCAUGGAGUUUCGAACCAUGUGCUAUUGGCCCUCGAGAUUUUCGAAUUAUCAAAAAAAGUUCAUGUGUUGUUUUUGCUCUGUUCCCUGCAUGGGUUGAUAGUUCGGUAUAUAAAGUUAUCUGGGUUUGCUUCUUCUCUGUUUGCAGUUGUGCCCUUGUAUAUGCAUGUGAUAAAAAAUCGUGUUGGUUUAGUGCUUCAUGCUCUUUGAUGCGUCUGUUUUCUGUAUCUGAGUCAGAGUUGAUACAUUUUGAAUGAUUUGCAUGUGUUGUUGUGUCAAGUUUUAGUACCUAUAGCUGAUCUUUUGAAUAGAGGCAGAUCCAGGAUUUUUGAUAUGAUGGGUUCAAGUUUGAGAUUCCACCACAGCCCCAUUUGAUUUACUGGGUUCAAAAUCUAUCAUUUGUACUUAUUUAGUAGAUUUUCUAAUAUAUAUAUAUAUUUAGAGUUUAAAUCAAAGCUACCAGGUUAGAUGAACCCAUAAUUUGUACACUAGAUCCGCCCCUGCUUUUGAAAUCCGUUUUAAGACCUAUAUUAAACAAUUAACACAAUGCGGAAGUUUGCUGAAAUGUGGGUAUAUUUUCCAAACAUUUGUUUGGUUUUGAACAUCUUUUUGUGGUUCCUUUUUGAUGUCUCAAUGGGUUGGUUUCUUUGUUCAAAAGGGCUGUGCUAAGUGUGGAAUCUACAAUUUCUGGUGUUCAGAUAUGUGUAACAUUAUACUAAUUGGAAUUGCUGAAAUGUGGGUAUAUUUUCCAAACAUUUUUUUGGUUUUGAACAUCUUUUUGUGGUUCCUUUUUGAUGUCUCAAUGGGUUGGUUUCUUUGUUCAAAAGGGCUGUGCUAAGUGUGGAAUCUACAAUUUCUGGUGUUCAGAUAUGUGUAAUUAUACUAAUUGGAAGUUUUGUUGUAACCUUAGGGUGCCUGUAACAUGAGAAUGGCGGGAAUUGAGGAUACAGCAGAG